UGUUCCAGUGAUGAUCAUGGGCAGCUCUUGAGUUACAUGCAAUGAAUCCUACGUGUCUACAACUCUGAGGUUUAA
This is a small nucleolar RNA of Hyaena hyaena (striped hyena), 75 nucleotides long. RefSeq annotates it as small nucleolar RNA SNORD113/SNORD114 family. The record is from RefSeq and is a predicted model, not a curated record. NCBI's taxonomy places the organism in Eukaryota, Metazoa, Chordata, Mammalia, Carnivora, Hyaenidae. The transcript has a single exon.